AACGAACGCUGGCGGCAUGCCUAACACAUGCAAGUCGAACGAGACCUUCGUGUCUAGUGGCGCACGGGUGCGUAACGCGUGGGAACCUGCCCUUAGGUUCGGAAUAACUCCCCGAAAGGGGUGCUAAUACCGGAUAAUGUCUUCGGACCAAAGAUUUAUCGCCUUUGGAUGGGCCCGCGUUGUAUUAGCUAGUUGGUAGGGUAAAAGCCUACCAAGGCGACGAUCCAUAGCUGGUCUGAGAGGAUGAUCAGCCACACUGGGACUGAGACACGGCCCAGACUAUUACGGGAGGCAGCAGUGGGGAAUAUUGGAAAAUGGGCGAAAGCCUGAUCCAGCAAUGCCGCGUGAGUGAUGAAGGCCUUAGGGUUGUAAAGCUCUUUUACCCGGGAUGAUAAUGACAGUACCGGGAGAAUAAGCUCCGGCUAACUCCGUG
Molecule: ribosomal RNA, 433 nt
Filed under: uncultured bacterium
Lineage: Bacteria
Description: partial 16S ribosomal RNA
Rfam family: Bacterial small subunit ribosomal RNA
Source: RNAcentral